UUCGCAAGCCAAUGACUACUAAUUGCACCAGUGUUGAAAAUAAAAACAGAAAAACCAACCAAAUAGGCCUACAGACCAGCAUGCUUAAAUCGAGCUAAUAAAACAUCCUUGUGGAUAUUGUUUCAGAUGACCACUUACAUGAGGACAAAACCAGCAGACAACAGAUUGAAUAUUUCUGGGAGCUGUAGGCUAAUCAUCCUGUGAAGUCACACCAUGGAUUUCCCAAUAUGCCUGGUCAAAAAUGCAGACGGCGAGCUUCAUGUAGUUCCUGGGGCCAUCAAGUACCUGAUGGGACUGAACCAGCAAGUCGUAGUGGUGGCGGUGGUCGGGCUGUACCGCAUCGGCAAGUCUUACCUCAUGAACAAGCUGUCUGGAAAGAGAAAAGGUGGUCAUUGCAAAGCACUACGCUGACCUUCUCUGAGGCAUCCUCGUUCUUGAUGAGAAGAAGUGUGCGGCCCUUCUGGAGAAGCUGUCUGCUCAGAUGGCCAAGAAGAUUACAGAGGGGAUCUACGAGCUUUACUGCAAUCACCAUGAGAACAUGCUGGCACAGUACCGGGCCAAGCCCGACAAAGGAGUUGGGGUAAGAGCUUCGAGUUGAUUCCUUAGAGCUGAAACAUUCAUCAAAAACUCCAUAUUGAACAUUGGAGCUGUUCUCCUCUUUCAGGCCGAUCCACUUAGUUUUGUUAGGUAAUAAUUAUCAGAGUAAGAACUCGAUGAUCCCUGACGGCUAACGAUAACAUAUCCUGACAGAAUGUAAACUUUAUACAUUCCACUUUCUCCCUCAGUGACACAAGUAUAUUUCAUGAUUUCUUAAGUCAAGAAAUCAGAACAGUUUCCAUGUCAUAGAUGAUGUGUUCUUUCUCUCAACCUCUAAUGUUACUGUU
Long non-coding RNA from Oncorhynchus gorbuscha (pink salmon), 884 nucleotides. RefSeq lists it as uncharacterized. The record is from RefSeq and is a predicted model, not a curated record. NCBI's taxonomy places the organism in Eukaryota, Metazoa, Chordata, Actinopteri, Salmoniformes, Salmonidae. The transcript is spliced from 3 exons.